CAUGUCUAUAUUUAACGUAGUCAUGGACAAAGAGAAUCGAACUAGAAGUGGAUUCUAGAAGUGGAAAAACAUGUAGAACUAACAUAUUAAAUAGACAUUUUGGUGAAUAUAUUAACAUUCGCACUGUAGUCAAAUGUGUCCCCCCCAUAUCAGAGUCACUCCUACGCCCUUGACUAGUUGGUCUGGUUGGGUUCUGCCCCGUCUUCCUGGUUGGUACCACUACCACCUCCUCCCAGAUGCCUGGUAGUUUCCCCUCCUCUCACUCUGUUGAACAGGUCCAGUACCUUGUAAAGACCACUUCCUACUGUACACACUAUGAAGUAGGUGUGCACGAUAUAUUGACUCAAUACCGUUAUUACAAUAGCAUGUAGAGCAGGAUCAGAAUCGACAAUGCAGCAGAAAGUACACAUUAUUCAGUUUAUUUUGUGGAGAGGUGCGUCCGUUGGCUGUGUGGCUUAGUUCAAUUUAGGGCCCAAUUGAAACCGCUUUAUAAUGACCACGUUUCAUUGGCCAUUUGCCCUGUCACAUGCAAGUGUGAGCGCACGUGUCCACAACUCGAACAUACCCUAUGGAGCAUACCAUGUGACGUGUGUGUAUACUGUACCCGACAGCGUGUGAGUGAAGAGAGAGAGACAGCAAAAAAAAGAAAAGACAGAGAGAGAAAGAGACAGAGAGAGUGUCUUGAAACCACAGCUAAACAAAUGCACAUCAUAUCAUAAUCCAACCCAUUCCUUAAUGUGACACGGUGCAGUCAGAAAUAACAUGGUGCCUUCUGGGAUUCCACUUUAGUAAUGGAAGCUGCAUGGAAGGACAUCAGUAGGAAGGAACCCCUGGACCGUCUGUUUCACCCCCACUUUAUUUUAUUCCCACAGCAUUUGACAUCCUGAACCACCUACAGUUCAGGAUUUCAACAAUCAUCCCAAACAAGGAAAUAUUGUAAAUAGAAAAUAUGGUUCUUUAAAACAAACAGAGAAAUCCUUCCCCCUGUUUCCGAGUUUUCAAAAGAAUGGUGAGAGUUGAAGAACUAUAGCCCUCUGACCAAAAUAAAUAACGAGAUACAUUUCAGUUGGUUCGUUGUCAUUAAAUGUGAGGGCCCCUUGCUUGUUUAGAAUAGAGGUCUAUCUGAAUGAGUUUACGUUGUAUAAUAAUAACUAAUAACACCUACAUAAUUUAUGUAUAUGUUGUACCUUUACCAUUCUACUGAGCCUUAAUGUCUUAGUUUCCUGGUUUGAUUAGGUUUGAGGUUUGUAUACCAUGUUCUGUCUAUUUAUAUUAAUAUGUGGAGAUGAUGUGGACAUAAAUUGGGACUCUUUUGCUUAGUCACUACAUUUGUUAGUGAAUGGUGAUUCGCCCUCUUAAUUAUUUUAUCUAUUUAUUUCUGCAUCCGCCUCUCCACGUGUUAUUUACUAUGAUUAUGACCACGGGUGGUUGUUGGGUUCCUGCAGGGAUGUGACUCUGCACCGACAUAUCAACCAUGUGUAUCUGGGGAAAGGGAGGGGAACAGACGCUGUAGGAGUUUUAGGGGGGGGUUGAUUAGACUGUGGUGGUGGGAGGGAAACUUGGGUGAGCAUAGAGUGUGUAUUUGUUUGAAAUGUAACCUCUUUUCUGCUUUAUAAACCUGCUUGUACAGAUUUUUUCUAUAUUUUCAUCACUGUUGGUUACUUUUUAUUUGGAUUCUCAUGACUAAUAUUCCAGUGAUGACGUGGAAUAUACAAGGUGCUCACACUCACACGGAACAAGCAAUAUGUCUUGAGUUUAUUCAAAGGAAAUAAGUUAUAUUGCUUUAAUACAGGAAUCUCACUUAUUGGAAGAGGAGGUGCAUACAUUUAGCAAUUCUGCUUUUCAUGUUGUAGCUUCUUCUUCUGCUUUGAACAAAACCAAAGGUGUGUCAGUUGUAGUCCGCAGGGCCUUGGAUAUUAAUAUGGUAAUAUUCUGGUAAUGAUGAUAGAGGCAGGAUUGCUUUUAUAAAAACGAUAUUGUUUGGCCAAAGAAUGGCUUUGGUAUCUAUAUAUGCUCCAACUAUAUUUGAGAGAACAUUCUUUAUCUCCUUAUCUAAUAUAUUGACUUAGUUGACAGAUUUUAAGUUGGUCAUAGGAGCAGACAUGAAUGCUAUUAGAAAUUCAAAUCUAGACAGAUCUAAUCCAAAAACUACCAACUCACAAACUGUGGCUUCCAUAGCCUUGCAAUGUUUUCUUUCUGAUCUUAGUCUGGUUGAUCAGAAAAUCCACUGGCAAAAAUCAA
Esox lucius (northern pike) is the source of this 2241-nucleotide long non-coding RNA. Lineage: Eukaryota; Metazoa; Chordata; Actinopteri; Esociformes; Esocidae. The record is from Ensembl.